This 305-nucleotide ribosomal RNA is filed under the name uncultured bacterium. Its description in RNAcentral is "bacterial SSU rRNA". It matches the Rfam family "Bacterial small subunit ribosomal RNA", at positions 338 to 658 of the family's 1533-position model. The record is from RNAcentral.
CCUCCGGGCGGCAGCAGUGGGGAAUAUUGGGCAAUGGGCGCAAGCCUGACCCCGCCCCUCCUCUUUCCGGCCGCAGGCUUUCGGGUUGUAAACUUCUUUUAAGAGGGAAGAGCAGAAGACGGUACCUCUUGAAUAAGCCACGGCUAACUACGUGCCAGCAGCCGCGGUAAUACGUAGGUGGCAAGCGUUGUCCGGAUUUACUGGGUGUAAAGGGCGUGUAGCCGGGCUGACAAGUCAGAUGUGAAAUUCCGGGGCUCAACCCCGGACCUGCAUUUGAAACUGUUGGUCUUGAGUAUCGGAGAGGC